Long non-coding RNA from Cyprinus carpio (common carp), 1131 nucleotides. The record is from Ensembl. Lineage: Eukaryota; Metazoa; Chordata; Actinopteri; Cypriniformes; Cyprinidae.
AGAAACACACACAAUGAUGCUCCAUUCUGUCAUUCUAAUUUCUGCCUUUGCAUAUGCAACGCAUGGAAAUGAAAUCAAACCAACCAAAACACUGGAGUUUGCUGAUGAGGGUUCAAGUGUUAAAUUAUCCUGCAGUUAUUCAUCUGCAUUAACUCUCUACUGGUACCGUCAGUAUCCCGGAUCAGCUCCUCAGUUCAUUAUGUUGAUCUCAGAUGGAUCAAAACAAGCUCAGGAGUCUAAUGUAGAUUCCAGAUUCAUUGCCAAAGUCACCAAAGACAAAGAAAGCCAUGUGGAUCUUAUUAUCUCCUCUGCUGCUGUAUCAGACUCUGCUCUGUACUACUGCGCUCUGGAGCCCACAGUGACAGGAAACACAAAAACACUGUACAAAAAACUGACACACAGCAUUGCAGAAACAGAAAGGGUGACAAAGAUAAUGUUAAAUAUGUUAUUCCAGAUAUUCAUAACAUUUUAUAAGGCAACCAUGUUCAAAGAGGUGAUAAAAGCAACUUUAAUUGCAUAUGCUUUUUCCCAGGUGGUGAGAAAAGAGGGGUUUAUACAGUAUCUGAGGGUAUUUUGCUGAACCUGACAGAGACUGUGUCAUAAGAUCAUUUAAACUCUGACUGUAAGCAUGCAGUACAUACUCAGUUAUUCUAAAAAUGAAUGAAAAGCUUUAUAACAUAAAGUAAAACAUAAGUAUAGUGGUGAUUAAGCAUUUGUUCAAGAAACCUAUUUAUACCAAUCAUACUUUCGGGGUUUGCAGAAUAUCAUCACGUUUAGCAAUUUCAGACUUAAUCCACAAGGGGUCAGCAUUGCUCUCUCCAUUUAUGAGUAUAUUAUGUGACAUGAUACCAACAUUUAAAGAAGACCUCUUUUUGAAAAUAGAGUUGAGUGAAAUUUCUGUUCCUUUACCUCAUAGAUCAACUAUGUUUAGAUGGGCAAUGAUUUCACUAUGCUUCAUAGCACAAUAUGAUGGUAAGUAAAUUUAAAGUAAAAAAAAAAAAAAAAACACAGAAAGUGCUCAGUUAUAUGACGAGGUGCAAAUCUACAUGAUACUGAUGCGCAUUCAACCCAUAUGAUCUUGUUACAUUUUCUAGACUGAAUCUCAAAACAAUAAAGAUAAUAAGAUUCCCA